This 398-nucleotide ribosomal RNA is filed under the name uncultured bacterium. Its description in RNAcentral is "bacterial SSU rRNA". It matches the Rfam family "Bacterial small subunit ribosomal RNA", at positions 30 to 418 of the family's 1533-position model. The record is from RNAcentral.
AUUGAACGCUGGCGGCAUGCUUUUACACAUGCAAGUCGAACGGCAGCGGGGGUUUAAGUCUUGCUUAGACCUGCCGGCGAGUGGCGAACGGGUGAGUACAACAUCGGAACGUGUCCGUUUGUGGGGACAACUGCUCGAAAGGGUAGCUAAUACCGCAUAAGACCUGAGGGUGAAAGUGGGGAUCGCAAGACCUCACGCGAACGGAGCGGCCGAUGACUGAUUAGGUAGUUGGUGAGGUAAAGGCCCACCAAGCCGACGAUCAGUAGCUGGUCUGAGAGGACGACCAGCCACACUGGAACUGAGACACGGUCCAGACUCCUACGGGAGGCAGCAGUGGGGAAUUUUGGACAAUGGGGGAAACCCUGAUCCAGCCAUGCCGCGUGCGGGAAGAAGGCCUU